This 505-nucleotide ribosomal RNA is filed under the name Pseudopannota maculosa. RNAcentral's name for it is "partial 16S ribosomal RNA". It matches the Rfam family "Bacterial large subunit ribosomal RNA", at positions 1816 to 2606 of the family's 2925-position model. The record is from RNAcentral. Lineage: Eukaryota; Metazoa; Arthropoda; Insecta; Ephemeroptera; Baetidae.
CAUCGCCUGCAGCAAUACUUGUAGGUACAGCCUGCCCAAUGAUUAAUUUAAUGGCCGCAGUAUUAUGACUGUGCAAAGGUAGCAUAAUCAUUUGUCUCCUAAUUAGAGGCUGGCAUGAAUGGCUAAACGUGGAGUAGACUGUAUCACUAAUAAAUUUUAACUUAAUCUUUAAGUCAAAAAGCUUAAAUAAAAUAGCAGGACGAGAAGACCCCAUAGAUCUUUAUAUAGAUGACUUUUUAACGCUUAGACGGCACUCCUGGCAAGUACAGAAAUAUUUUGUUGGGGUGACACGAAGUAAUAAACGCUUUUCUAGAAACAAUAAUAGUAGGUUGUAUGAUCCGGCCUCCGAUUAAAAAAUUAAGUUACCUUGGGGAUAACAGCGUAAUCUGCCCUUAGAGUUCUUAUCAACCGGCAGGGUUGCGACCUCGAUGUUGGAUUAAGAAUCCCGCCAUGGGCAGCCCCAUGGGCGGGAGGUCUGUUCGACCUAUAAAAUCUUACAUGAUCU